RNAcentral lists this ribosomal RNA (489 nucleotides) under uncultured bacterium. RNAcentral's name for it is "partial 16S ribosomal RNA". It matches the Rfam family "Bacterial small subunit ribosomal RNA", at positions 30 to 506 of the family's 1533-position model. The record is from RNAcentral.
AGUGAACGCUGGCGGUAGGCCUAACACAUGCAAGUCGAACGGCAGCACAGGAGAGCUUGCUCUCUAGGUGGCGAGUGGCGGACGGGUGAGGAAUACAUCGGAAUCUGCCCAGUCGUGGGGGAUAACGUAGGGAAACUUACGCUAAUACCGCAUACGACCUUCGGGUGAAAGAGGGGGAUCGCAAGACCUCUCGCGAUUGGAUGAGCCGAUGUCGGAUUAGCUAGUUAGCGGGGUAAUGGCCCACCAAGGCGACGAUCCGUAGCUGGUCUGAGAGGAUGAUCAGCCCAACGGGAACGGAAACCCGGCCCGGGCCCCUACGGGGGGCCGAGGUGGGGAAUAUUGGAAAAAGGGGGAAAGCCUGAACCAGCCAAACCGGGGGGGUGAAGAAGGCCUUCGGGUUGUAAAGCCCUUUUGUGGGGAAAAAAAUCUUUCGGGUUAAAACCCGGGGGGGAGAACGGAACCCAAAAAAAAGGCACCGGCAAAUUUCGG